RNAcentral lists this ribosomal RNA (255 nucleotides) under uncultured bacterium. Its description in RNAcentral is "partial 16S ribosomal RNA". It matches the Rfam family "Bacterial small subunit ribosomal RNA", at positions 524 to 776 of the family's 1533-position model. The record is from RNAcentral.
UACGGAGGGUGGCAAGCGUUGUUCGGAUUUAUUGGGCGUAAAGCGCGUGUAGGCGGUUUCUUAAGUCUGAUGUGAAAGCCCCUGGGCUCAACCCAGGAAGUGCAUUGGAUACUGGGAGACUUGAAUACGGGAGAGGGUAGUGGAAUUCCUAGUGUAGGAGUGAAAUCCGUAGAUAUUAGGAGGAACACCGGUGGCGAAGGCGGCUACCUGGACCGAUAUUGACGCUAGACGCGAAAGCGUGGGGGAGCAAACAGG